Molecule: ribosomal RNA, 825 nt
Filed under: uncultured bacterium
Lineage: Bacteria
Description: bacterial SSU rRNA
Rfam family: Bacterial small subunit ribosomal RNA
Source: RNAcentral
UUAGAGUUUGAUCCUGGCUCAGAACGAACGCUGGCGGCGUGGAUAAGACAUGCAAGUCGAACGAGAGAAUUGCUAGCUUGCUAAUAAUUCUCUAGUGGCGCACGGGUGAGUAACACGUGAGUAACCUGCCCCCGAGAGCGGGAUAGCCCUGGGAAACUGGGAUUAAUACCGCAUAGUAUCGAAAGAUUAAAGCAGCAAUGCGCUUGGGGAUGGGCUCGCGGCCUAUUAGUUAGUUGGUGAGGUAACGGCUCACCAAGGCGAUGACGGGUAGCCGGUCUGAGAGGAUGUCCGGCCACACUGGAACUGAGACACGGUCCAGACACCUACGGGUGGCAGCAGUCGAGAAUCAUUCACAAUGGGGGAAACCCUGAUGGUGUGACGCCGCGUGGGGGAAUGAAGGUCUUCGGAUUGUAAACCCCUGUCAUGUGGGAGCAAAUUAAAAAGAUAGUACCACAAGAGGAAGAGACGGCUAACUCUGUGCCAGCAGCCGCGGUAAUACAGAGGUCUCAAGCGUUGUUCGGAAUCACUGGGCGUAAAGCGUGCGUAGGCUGUUUCGUAAGUCGUGUGUGAAAGGCGCGGGCUCAACCCGCGGACGGCACAUGAUACUGCGAGACUAGAGUAAUGGAGGGGGAACCGGAAUUCUCGGUGUAGCAGUGAAAUGCGUAGAUAUCGAGAGGAACACUCGUGGCGAAGGCGGGUUCCUGGACAUUAACUGACGCUGAGGCACGAAGGCCAGGGGAGCGAAAGGGAUUAGAUACCCCUGUAGUCCUGGCAGUAAACGGUGCACGCUUGGUGUGCGGGGAAUCGACCCCCUGCGUGCCGGAG